Molecule: long non-coding RNA, 720 nt
Filed under: Olea europaea subsp. europaea
Lineage: Eukaryota; Viridiplantae; Streptophyta; Magnoliopsida; Lamiales; Oleaceae
Source: RNAcentral
UGAUCAGUACUAGUAAAUAAGAUAGAAUGGAAGAAAGAACCCCGUUCACUAUCUAAAAAUAAACAAAUCGAUCCCUCUAUUGUGUAUGAAGUUUAUGGUUUCCAUGGGUACAAAUCCAAUCACCUGAAUUUAAGAUGAGAAGCAAUUCUCCAUUGGUAAUAAAUGGUUAUCUAUUAAGCGGAGGAAAUCUUAUUUCAAUUUCAAAAACAUAAAAAUGAAGCUCCCAUUCUUUCAACAACGGACUAAGAGGGUUAGCUACCCGGCUAACUUUCUUAAUUAAAUACCGUUACUAUAUAUGUGGAUCUCAUUGUGAAAGAUCUAUUACUGGAUAAAUCAUUGGUAGAGUCAAAGAGUGUGGUAUGAACUAUACAAGUUACCAAUAACAUUGAUUAAAUGAAGUAAAGACUCCGAUGUAUAGAGAAGACCUCAUCGUUUAAGAAGUAACUAUAGAAGCGACAAAACCCACUAUUCUUUAUCCAUUUAAUUUAUAUUUCUUUUUACUAUAUUUUCACACUUAGAAGAAUAAAAUUUCUUAUUUCUUUCGUAUUUCGCAGUGAAAUACCUAAAAAAAAAUGAAAAAAUCAUGGUCGGGAAGGUUAUAGCAGCCCAAGCCAUUGGAUUUUUUUUUUAUACAUUGACAAAAUCCGUUUUGUAUAUAUAUAUAUAUAUAUAAGAACGCUGAUAAAAUUGUCGAGUUAAAGGGGUGAUGUUAAAAUGUAG